GUCUCCGGAGGUCUCACUCCUGCCUCCCUUCUGGGAUUACUCUUCCCUCUGCCAAGUAAACCGAGCCGAUUUCGAGCACUUCUGCGUCCAGAGGCUGCGCUAACCCCCAGGGCCAAGGUCACUGCACAGACAAGCAGAGGGAGGACGGGCUGUGCUCUCGGGGUCGGGGAGAGCCCACCGCCGCCUGAGCAAUGUAGAGUUUCUCAAAUGUCACUUCAGCUAUCAACAGACAAGAAGGAACUGAGAGAAGAGCCUGGUGCCAUCUCACACACCUGUAAUCCCAGCUACUUGGGAGGCUGAGACAGGGAGAUCCCAAAUUCAAGCAUCCUCAUCUGUUGAAUAGUGAAGGUGGAGGAGUGAUUCAGUGAUCUCUGAAGACCCUGCAAGUUCUAAAUUUCUAUGAUUCUGCUCAUGAAAGAGUCAGAGGUUAACCAGAGGGUGAUAGCUAUGCGAGGAGGCCCAGGUCCAUGUGGCUGAGAAAGCGGUUUUUGUUUACAAAGGAGAAUCAAGCCUAGGGACAGUGGGGAGCCUUCAUUCUGAGUUGUAGGGACCCAGGGCCACCCUCACCUUCCUUUCUGGCAUCUGCCCAGACCCCAGGAGCAUGACCUUACACUCCCCAGCUUCUCCUCUGCUCCCCAUCAGCACUUCCAGCCAGUUACCCUGUGCCACUCCUCUCUGAGAUAUCACUCACCCUUUUAUUUCCCCCCGUCUCCUGACAAACCCACCCUGUCCCCUAGUCCAGACCCUCUCCAUGUCUCUCCUGGGUCUCUGUAAUACACCCCUCACGUUUCUGACCUCCCUCCUGUUGGUUUAUCCCUCUCUCCUAGUUAGUCUCCUAUCUCUUUGACCAAUCUUUCUCAGCUCCCUUGUGUUUCAGCCACCUCACCUGCUUCCCCUUGAUUUGUUCACCCCUUAAAUUUGAGUGAACCCCCUAAAAUUUUGUUCUUAGCCAUUUCACAGUGGUGACAAUAACAACAGCAAAAACAACCAGGAUUUAUUGGUGCUUAUAAACCACAAAGAGCUUCAUAUGUAUUUUCAUUUGAUUCUAUGAGGCACCUAUAAUCUCCAGUUAACAGAAGUCAAUUUUGCCUUCAUGGAAUUUCUAAGAACUGUUCUUUCCCUUUUAUUUCCAUUGCCACUGCCCUAAUUUAAGCCCUUAAUACCUCAUCUUAGAACCUCGCUUCGGUGCCCCAGCUGACAAUACUGUAGGUCUUAGCAGCCGAUGAGAAGGAAAGGAUGUAGUUCCAGUUAACCAAUUGACUAAGGGCUUUUGGCUUAGCUGAACCAGUCCAGGCCCCACUCAGAACAGUGGUUACACAGUGGGCUGUGCUGUAAAGAUAAGGCACUCAGAACUAGAAUCAUUUAGGGGGAAAGAUUAGGGUCACACACAAAAAAUCAGAACCUAUGAGUGGUCUAAGCAGAAAGAGGACAGUUCCUGAUGAAACAGGUGAAAGGCUGCAUAAUGAGCUCCAGAAGAAUCUCCUUAGAAGCUCUGCUCCACCCCUAGGAUUUGCGUGUCCGUCCAGAACUAUCUUCUGUCUACCCAAUCUACAACCUCAGACUGUGGGAGAAGGUAAAUCUCCACUCUGGAGUUUAAGUCAGGAAAAUCCUAUCCCUGGGAAGCAAAAAGAAUAAGAAUAAAGGAGCCAAUAUUAGAAAUAUUGAACAAAGAAAUUUAAAUUCAUAACAUUGUUUUUAUAAUGGGUGGAGAUUUUUUGCAAUCAGUGUAAUAUUGUGUUUUAUCUGUUUUUAAUGAUGUUUAAAGCUUUGAAGAAAAACUGAUAGAUUUAUGAAGAGCUUGAUUUCAUUUGCAAUCAAUGUUUAAAUAUUUCGAGAGAUAUCUGUUAAAUACAGAAGUUUUUGAUUUUCUGGUUGUAUAGUAGUAUAAGAAUAUUUAGGGGAAUGUUAAUAAUUGAAUAAAGAUUAAUAAAUUGUACAUCAAAGUACAAAAAAUAAUGAAUCUUUUUUCCAUGCCCAAAAGUACAUGGAG
Long non-coding RNA from Heterocephalus glaber (naked mole-rat), 1990 nucleotides. NCBI's taxonomy places the organism in Eukaryota, Metazoa, Chordata, Mammalia, Rodentia, Bathyergidae. The record is from Ensembl.